GGGGGGGCAGCUCAGGGGUAGAGCACAUGCUUGGCAUGCACAAGGUCCUGGGUUCCACCCCCAGCACCUCCA
Molecule: transfer RNA, 72 nt
Filed under: Camelus ferus (Wild Bactrian camel)
Lineage: Eukaryota; Metazoa; Chordata; Mammalia; Artiodactyla; Camelidae
Rfam family: tRNA
About the family: Transfer RNA (tRNA) molecules are approximately 80 nucleotides in length. Their secondary structure includes four short double-helical elements and three loops (D, anti-codon, and T loops).
Source: Rfam by way of RNAcentral